GUACUUGCUUUGGUAGUACACACUAAAAUUAGAAUGAUACAGACAAGAUUAGCAUGGUUGCUCAGCAAGGAUGACAUGCAAAUUCAUGAAACAUCACAUAUUUUA
Molecule: small nuclear RNA, 105 nt
Organism: Ursus americanus (American black bear)
Lineage: Eukaryota; Metazoa; Chordata; Mammalia; Carnivora; Ursidae
Source: Ensembl